This 1727-nucleotide long non-coding RNA is filed under the name Glycine max (soybean). RNAcentral describes it as "long non-coding RNA (GMAX_LNC004072)". Lineage: Eukaryota; Viridiplantae; Streptophyta; Magnoliopsida; Fabales; Fabaceae. The record is from RNAcentral.
UGGUUUAGAGGACCAGAAACCUCCCAAGAAGAAGAAGAGAAAUAGGAAAACUCAAGUAAUUUCAUUGUCUCUACCUUAUUACAUUGUUCAUCUAUUUAUAGUGCUAUGAGAAUAACUGAAUUUGUCAUUUUGUCCUAGCAUAAUCCUAACGGAAUUGUGAAAACAAAACGCUAAUGGCAGACAAGCUACGUAGGGAAUAAUGGCAGACAAGAUACGAAGGGAAGAUACUGUUGCCAACUCAGCAGAUCCUGUUCUCAUCUCAGACAAAAUCUCUCAGGUAUGCUGGUGCUGUAGUAUUCCUCUUAUGCCUGUUUCUUGUUACUGCUUGCACCCCUGAUUGCUAUCAGAAGGUAACAUUUUUUACUCAUGAUUCUUUUGACUUUCAUUUGUUCUUCUCUCUUACGCUGACAACAUUGUUUGGAUGAUAUGCAUUGUGUGAUUUUCGUUUGCUUAUUACUGUGGUUUGAUUAUCCCAACAUGUACAUUUCUGGUGUCGAGAUAUAAUUUUACAAGUUUUCCUCUUAGUAUUAAAUUAGGAGAUUGUUUGAAUAUUGUAGUUACUUUUGUUGAAGGAAGAGGGUGACAUUUCAUUCAGAUUAUAAAGCUUGCUACCAUAGUCUAGGCAUCCAGGGUAAAGUGGUAAAUAAUCAAUUUUAGUUUAACUGAAUACUCCCCCUUUUUGGAUUAUUUUUUGUAAUUGAAGUUGAAUUUUUCGUAUUUGUAUCUAAUUUUUCAUAUUUGUCACCAGGGGAUGGAUUUAUGGUGGAAAAAUUUGAGUAUGAAUCUAAAUAGGAUUUGGAACCUUGAAUUUGAGCUUCGUUGACUAUAUUGACUUUGAAAUUCGAAAAUUAGGGUAACAUGUCUAUUAAUUUAGUGAACAACAAUGAAGCAACAGAGGAAGCAUUACUAAAAGAUGAUUUUGUACAGAAAGCAAAUAAAGGGGAACAGUUUCCUCUUGAGUUGAAAAGCCUCCAUUAGAAUAUCAAGGUCAAAAGGCUCUGUACAAUAAUUAGUACGUACCACAAGACAAAGAUGAUUUCUGAAUAAGUUGAUCCAACUACAUCCCAUCUAUUUUUCUGAUUUCUAUAUCUUCUACAACGUUGUGUAAAUAUUGUGCGUCUAUAAUUGAAACAGGAAGCAUACUGUUGCAGAAAAACUCAAAAUGCAGGAGUAAUUUGAAGUGAUUUAAUAGGUCCACAACACCAGUGAAUUCUCUUGGUCAUAAGAGUUCAAAUAACAUUUGUGAGAAUCAGAAAGUGAUGAGUCUUAAAUUUGUCACCUCAAUUAAAAUUAACUUGAUUUCCUUAAUGCAGGAUUUGAUGCUGAAAUUUUGUGGGAGUGAUGAUUCUGCUUUUGCUGACCUUGGCGAGAGAAUUGAUUUGAUCAAGAAUUUGGACGAAUUAACACUAGCUUAGAGGGCCUCAAUUGAAGAAAUUGAAGAUGAAUUACAUGCUGCAAGUGCUAAGAUGUUGAAGAAGGUCAUCAAAAUUAAAAAGGAUCGAUGUACUUGAUUAUUGAAAGCCAAAUGUAUCUAAAGAAUUUUUUUUGUUAUUUCAUGUUUGUCUUUGUUUUGUGUUUGAUUUGAAUUUUGUAUUUCGAACUUGAUAUUCCUUGAACUUAAGUUCGAUGAAGUCAACUAAUCUUCUAAGGUAAAACCAAACUCUAUCCUUAUUUUAGUUGUCAUAAUAUGAUUUAUAAAAGAAUAAGAUAACAUAUGACAUUCCAAA